This 2959-nucleotide ribosomal RNA is filed under the name Dehalococcoidia bacterium. RNAcentral's name for it is "23S ribosomal RNA". It matches the Rfam family "Bacterial large subunit ribosomal RNA". Lineage: Bacteria; Bacillati; Chloroflexota; Dehalococcoidia. The record is from RNAcentral.
UUGAGGUCAAGCUACUAAGGCGCGCGGUGGAUGCCUAGGCAUCAGGAGCCGAAGAAGGACGUGGUAAGGCUGCGAUAAGCUCCGCUCAGCUGCCAAACAAGCUCAGGCGGAGAUUUCCGAAUGGGGAAACCCGGCCCGGGAUUACCGGGUCACUCCAGGUUGAACACAUAGACCUGGCAGAGGGAACUGGGGGAACUGAAACAUCUAAGUACCCCGAGGAAAAGAGAUUAUUCCCUAAGUAGCGGCGAGCGAACGGGGAAAAGCCCAAACCGGUUGGGUUCGCCCAGCCGGGGUUGUAGGACCUGCUGGCUUUCGGGCACGGAGUUACCAAUCGCAAGCGAAGACGAACGGCACUGGAACGGCCGGCCAGAGAGGGUGAGAGCCCCGUAGGCGAAUGGCUUGCGACUCCGAGCAGGCACCUGAGUACCACGGGACACGUGAAACCCUGUGGGAAUCUGGGGAGACCACUUCCCAAGGCUAAAUACUCCUGGUGACCGAUAGUGGACAAGUACCGUGAGGGAAAGGUGAAAAGUACCCCGGGAGGGGAGUGAAAGAGAUCCUGAAACCGUGUGCUUACGUGCAGUCGGAGCCCGUUACGACGGGUGACGGCGUGCCUAUUGAAGAAUGAGCCGGUGAGUUACGCUACGUCGCAAGGUUAAGUGACGGAGUCAUGGAGCCGUAGCGAAAGCGAGUCCGAACAGGGCGAUUGAGUGGCGUGGAGUAGACGCGAAACCUGGUGAUCUACCCAUGGGCAGCGUGAAGUCCGGGUAAAACCGGAUGGAGGCGCGAACCUUCUUGUGUUGCAAAACGAUUGGAUGACUUGUGGGUAGCGGUGAAAUGCCAAACGAACCAGGAGAUAGCUCGUUCUCCCCGAAAUGCAUUUAGGUGCAGCCUCGGAAGUAUCUCCGGCGGAGGUAGAGCUCUGGAUGGGCUAGGGGGCUUACCGCCUACCAAACCCAACCAAACUGCGAAUGCCGCCGGACAAAAUCCGGGAGUGAGACAGUGGGGGAUAAGCUUCAUUGUCGAAAGGGAAACAGCCCAGACCACCAGCUAAGGUCCCAAAGUUCACGCUCAGUGUACAAGGAUGUUGAAUUGCAAAAACAGCCAGGAGGUUGGCUUAGAAGCAGCCACCCUUUAAAGAGUGCGUAACAGCUCACUGGUCGAGUGAUUCUGCGCCGAGAAUUCAACGGGGCUAAGCGUGACACCGAAGCUGUGGGUCAUCCGCGUUUAGCGGAUGGCGGUAGGGGAGCGUUCGUUUCAGCCGAGAAGGGGUAGCUGCGAGGCGCCCUGGAGCGGAGCGAAGUGAGAAUGCCGGCAUGAGUAGCGUAAGGUGCGUGAGAACCGCACCCGCCGUAAACCUAAGGUUUCCUACGGAAGGUCAGUCCGCGUAGGGUUAGUCGGGCCUAAGCCGAGGCCGAGAGGCGUAGGCGAUGGACAGCUGGUUAGUAUUCCAGCACCACGAUGGUCGCGUUUUAACGCAGAGGGGGGACCCGGAAGGGUAGAUCCCGCGGACCUAAUGGAUAUGGUCCGUUCCUGGGCCGUAGGCGUCCGGAGGCAGGUAAAUCCACCUCCGGGAUAAGCUGAGGACUCGGGAGAAGUAGAGACUUUUGUCAAAGCGACGGGGUUGAGCCCAGGCCGGCGAGAAAAGCCUCGCUGCCAGUCACCAACGUGCCCGUACCGCAAACCGACACUGGUAGGUGGCGGUAAGUACCGUGAGGCGAACGGGAGAACCUUCGUUAAGGAACUCGGCAAAUUGGAUCCGUAACUUCGGGAGAAGGAUCGCCCUCGGCUGUGAACCGGCAUGCCCGGUGAGCGGUAGAGGGCCGCAGUGAGCAGGCCCAGGCGACUGUUUACCAAAACCACAGGUCUCUGCAAAAGCGAAAGCUGACGUAUAGGGGCUGACGCCUGCCCAGUGCCGGAAGGUUAAGGGGAGAGGUGAGAGCUUCGAACCGAAGCCCCGGUGAACGGCGGCCGUAACUAUAACGGUCCUAAGGUAGCGAAAUUCCUUGUCGGGUAAGUUCCGACCCGCACGAAAGGCGUAACGAUCUGGGCACUGUCUCGACGAAGGACCCGGCGAAAUUGAAUUGGCCGUGAAGAUGCGGCCGACCCGCGGCAGGACAAAAAGACCCCGUGGAGCUUUACUGCAGCUUGGCACUGGGAGUGGGCCUUAGAUGCGUAGGAUAGGUGGGAGGCUAGGAAGCCGUGUUUGCGGACAUGGUGGAGCCAACCUUGAAAUACCACCCUUCUGUGGUUUGCUUUCUAACUCCUGAUCAAGCAGGAGGACAGUGUCUGGUGGGCAGUUUGACUGGGGCGGUCGCCUCCUAAAAUGUAACGGAGGCGCACAAAGGUUCCCUCAGGGUGGAUGGAAAUCACCUGUCGAGUGUAUUGGCACAAGGGAGCUUGACUGCGAGACCUACAAGUCGAGCAGGGGCGAAAGCCGGUCAAAGUGAUCCUACGGUACCGAGUGGAAGGGCCGUGGCUUAACGGAUAUAAGUUACCCCGGGGAUAACAGGCUUAUCUUGCCCAAGCGUCCAUAGCGACGGCAAGGUUUGGCACCUCGAUGUCGGCUCGUCGCAUCCUGGGGCUGGAGUAGGUCCCAAGGGUUGGGCUGUUCGCCCAUUAAAGCGGUACGCGAGCUGGGUUCAGAACGUCGUGAGACAGUUCGGUCUCUAUCCGCCGUGGGCGCAGGAAGUUUGAGAGGCGUUGCCCCUAGUACGAGAGGACCGGGGUGAACGAACCGCUGGUGUGCGGGUUGUUCCGCCAGGAGCAUUGCCCGGUAGCCAUGUUCGGAUCGGAUAAGCGCUGAAAGCAUCUAAGUGCGAAGCCGACCUCGAGAUGAGACUUCCCAUCCCUUUAUGGGAGUAAGACCACAGGAAGACUACCUGUUUGAUAGGCGCCAGGUGUAAGCGCGGUAACGCGUUCAGCUAAGGCGUACUAAUGGUCGAGGGCUUGACCUCAA